Molecule: non-coding RNA, 208 nt
Organism: Pelobates cultripes (western spadefoot toad)
Lineage: Eukaryota; Metazoa; Chordata; Amphibia; Anura; Pelobatidae
Source: the annotation of a GenBank genome assembly
UAGUUGUUCUGGUGACUAGUGUCCCUUUAUUGUGUAUGCUCUCAGAACCAGUUCUCACUGCUUCUCCUCUAUUGCAAUAAAGACAUGAUCCAAUACUUUCACUAUUCCAGCCUGAUUGGUUCAUUGGAAAAGGCUUUUCAGAGGGCAUUGGCUAUUUGGCCAACAUCAUCUCAGAACUACUAAUACCUAAAUGCAAGCUGUGAUAGAC